GAAAAUCAAAAGCCUUUAAACCUACUUAUCAAACCUUUUAUCUUAUAAACUGAAAACGCCAAUCUAAACCUUUUAUUUCUCUUUCUGAAAACGAAUAUUCAGGCUCAGUUUAAAUAUAUGUUGAAGCCCAUGAAAUCAUAUUCACAUCCAGGAAUAAGAUUAGUCAAUUAUAAAGUUAGAUGCGAAUAUUUAUUAAUUUUAAAACUCAGAGGAGCUUUCGAUAAAUUAGAGA
This 232-nucleotide long non-coding RNA is filed under the name Brassica napus (rape). RNAcentral describes it as "long non-coding RNA (BNAP_LNC007056)". The record is from RNAcentral. Lineage: Eukaryota; Viridiplantae; Streptophyta; Magnoliopsida; Brassicales; Brassicaceae.